This 253-nucleotide ribosomal RNA is filed under the name uncultured bacterium. RNAcentral describes it as "partial 16S ribosomal RNA". It matches the Rfam family "Bacterial small subunit ribosomal RNA", at positions 524 to 776 of the family's 1533-position model. The record is from RNAcentral.
UACAGAGGUCCCAAGCGUUGUUCGGAUUCACUGGGCGUAAAGGGUGCGUAGGUGGCCAGGUAAGUUCGGUGUGAAAGCUCGGAGCUUAACUCCGAAAUGGCAUUGAAUACUAUCUGGCUAGAGGGUCGGAGGGGAGACUGGAAUUCUCGGUGUAGCAGUGAAAUGCGUAGAUAUCAAGAGGAACACCUGCGGCGAAGGCGGGUUGCUGGGCCGACACUGACGCUGAGGCGCGAAAGCCAGGGGAGCGAACGGG